This 107-nucleotide small nuclear RNA is filed under the name Canis lupus familiaris (dog). The record is from RNAcentral. Lineage: Eukaryota; Metazoa; Chordata; Mammalia; Carnivora; Canidae. RNAcentral also lists the same sequence under 1 other name.
AUGCUCACUUCAGUAACACAUAUGCUAAAAUUGUAACAAUAUGGAGAAGAUUAGUGUGGCUCCUGUGCAAGGAUGACAUGCAAAUUCUUGAAGCGUUCCACACUACU